This 253-nucleotide ribosomal RNA is filed under the name uncultured bacterium. RNAcentral describes it as "partial 16S ribosomal RNA". It matches the Rfam family "Bacterial small subunit ribosomal RNA", at positions 524 to 776 of the family's 1533-position model. The record is from RNAcentral.
UACGUAGGGUGCAAGCGUUGUCCGGAAUUAUUGGGCGUAAAGAGCGCGCAGGCGGUCUAUCAAGUCAGAUGUGAAAUAUCCAGGCUUAACCUGGAGGGGUCAUUUGAAACUGGUAGACUAGAGUACAGCAGAGGAUAGCGGAAUUCCCGGUGUAGUGGUGAAAUGCGCAGAUAUCGGGAGGAACACCAGUGGCGAAGGCGGCUAUCUGGGCUGACACUGACGCUGAGGCGCGAAGGCUAGGGGAGCAAACAGG